ACAGCAGUAGCCACGGUAAUACAGAGGGUGCAAGCGUUAAUCGGAUUUACUGGGCGUAAAGCGUGCGUAGGCGGCUUCUUAAGUCGGAUGUGAAAUCCCUGAGCUUAACUUAGGAAUUGCAUUCGAUACUGGGAAGCUAGAGUAUGGGAGAGGAUGGUAGAAUUCCAGGUGUAGCGGUGAAAUGCGUAGAGAUCUGGAGGAAUACCGAUGGCGAAGGCAGCCAUCUGGCCUAAUACUGACGCUGAGGUACGAAAGCAUGGGGAGCAAACAGGAUUAGAUACCCCUGUAGUCCCUGUCUCUUAUAC
RNAcentral lists this ribosomal RNA (305 nucleotides) under uncultured bacterium. RNAcentral's name for it is "partial 16S ribosomal RNA". It matches the Rfam family "Bacterial small subunit ribosomal RNA", at positions 505 to 807 of the family's 1533-position model. The record is from RNAcentral.